This 600-nucleotide ribosomal RNA is filed under the name uncultured bacterium. RNAcentral describes it as "bacterial SSU rRNA". It matches the Rfam family "Bacterial small subunit ribosomal RNA", at positions 116 to 677 of the family's 1533-position model. The record is from RNAcentral.
CGCGGAUAUCUGCUUCUGGCGGGGAAUAACAGUCCGAAAGGAUUGCUAAUGCCGCAUGUGUCUGUGUGGUUUCCGAACUGCACAGAGAAAGAGGGCGCCCGCAAGGGGCUCUCACCAGAAGAUGAGUCCGCGUCCCAUCAGCUAGUUGGCGGGGUAAUGGCCCACCAAGGCAGAGACGGGUAGCUGGUCUGAGAGGAUGACCACCCACACUGGGACUGAGACACGGCCCAGACUCCUACGGGAGGCAGCAGUGGGGAAUUUUGGACAAUGGGCGAAAGCCUGAUCCAGCCAUUCCGCGUGCAGGAUGAAGGCCCUCGGGUUGUAAACUGCUUUUGUACGGAACGAAACGGCUUUUCUAAUACAAGAGGCUAAUGACGGCACCGUAAGGAAUAAGCACCGGCUAACUACGUGCCAGCAGCCGGGGUAAAUACGUAGGGUUGCAAAGCGUAACUCGGGAAUUACUGGGCGUAAAAGCCGUUGCGCAGGCGGGUUACUGUAGGCACAGGUUGGUGAAUUCCCCGGGGGCUUCAACCCUGGGAAACCUCGGCAUUCUGUAGAACUUGGGCUUACGUAGAGAGUNCACGGGGAAACAACGGGGCA